Molecule: transfer RNA, 75 nt
Filed under: Candidatus Pacearchaeota archaeon CG_4_10_14_0_2_um_filter_05_32_18
Lineage: Archaea; Nanobdellati
Also listed under: 1 other name
Description: tRNA-Arg
Rfam family: tRNA
About the family: Transfer RNA (tRNA) molecules are approximately 80 nucleotides in length. Their secondary structure includes four short double-helical elements and three loops (D, anti-codon, and T loops).
Source: RNAcentral
GCCCGAGUAGCUCAAUCUGGAUAGAGCGGCAGCGUCCUAAGCUGAAGGUUGUAGGUUCAAAUCCUAUCUCGGGCG